AUUAAGCGCUGGCGGCAUGCCUUACACAUGCAAGUCGAACGGCAGCGCGGGGUGACCUGGCGGCGAGUGGCGAACGGGUGAGUAAUGCAUCGGAACGUGCCCUGGAAUGGGGGAUAACGUAGCGAAAGUUACGCUAAUACCGCAUAUUCUGUGAGCAGGAAAGCAGGGGGACCGCAAGGCCUUGCGCUCUUUGAGCGGCCGAUGUCAGAUUAGCUAGUUGGUGAGGUAACGGCUUACCAAGGCGACGAUCUGUAGCGGGUCUGAGAGGAUGAUCCGCCACACUGGAACUGAGACACGGUCCCAGACUCCUACGGGAGGCAGCAGUGGGGAAUUUUGGACAAUGGGCGGAAGCCUGAUCCAGCCAUGCCGCGUGAGUGAAGAAGGCCUCGGUUGUAAAGGUACUCUUUCGGUCGGGGAAGGAAAGUACGCACGGGUGAACAGCCUGUGUGGAGUGACGGUACCUGAAGAAGAAGACACCGGC
RNAcentral lists this ribosomal RNA (481 nucleotides) under uncultured bacterium. Its description in RNAcentral is "bacterial SSU rRNA". It matches the Rfam family "Bacterial small subunit ribosomal RNA", at positions 29 to 497 of the family's 1533-position model. The record is from RNAcentral.